GGCUCAAUGGUCUAGAGGUAUGAUUCUCGCUUUGGGUGCGAGAGGUCCCGUGUUCGAUCCACGGUUGAGCCC
This is a non-coding RNA of Colletotrichum zoysiae, 72 nucleotides long. The record is from the annotation of a GenBank genome assembly. NCBI's taxonomy places the organism in Eukaryota, Fungi, Ascomycota, Sordariomycetes, Glomerellales, Glomerellaceae.